UGGCGGACGGGUGAGUAACGCGUGGGUAACCUGCCUCAUACAGGGGGAUAACAGUUAGAAAUGACUGCUAAAACCGCAUAAGCGCACAAAACCGCAUGGUUUGGUGUGAAAAACUCCGGUGGUAUGAGAUGGGCCCGCGUCUGAUUAACUAGUUGGAGAGGUAACGGCUCACCAAGGCGACGAUCAGUAGCCGACCUGAGAGGGUGACCGGCCACAUUGGGACUGAGACACGGCCCAAACUCCUACGGAAGGCAGCAG
This 258-nucleotide ribosomal RNA is filed under the name uncultured bacterium. RNAcentral describes it as "partial 16S ribosomal RNA". It matches the Rfam family "Bacterial small subunit ribosomal RNA", at positions 96 to 354 of the family's 1533-position model. The record is from RNAcentral.